AAUUUUGAACAAUGGGGGAAUCCCUGAUCCAGCCAUCCCGCGUGUAUGAUGAAGGCCNNNGGGUUNUCAAGUACGUUUGUCAGNGACNAAAAGGUCCUCCCUAAUACGGGAGACUGCUGACGGUCUUUGCAGAAUAUGCAACGGCUAACUACGUGCCAGCAGCCGCGGUAAUACGUAGGGUGCAAGCGUUAAUCGGAAUUACUGGGCGUAAAGCGUGUGUAGGCGGGUCGGAAAGAAAGAUGUGAAAUCCCAGGGCUCAACCUUGGAACUGCAUUUUUAACUGCCGAGCUAGAGUAGGUCAGAGGGGGGUAGAAUUCCACGUGUAGCAGUGAAAUGCGUAGAUAUGUGGAGGAAUACCGAUGGCGUAGGCAGCCCCCUGGGAUAAUACUGACGCUCAGACACGAAAGCGUGGGGAGCAAACAGG
RNAcentral lists this ribosomal RNA (424 nucleotides) under uncultured bacterium. Its description in RNAcentral is "partial 16S ribosomal RNA". It matches the Rfam family "Bacterial small subunit ribosomal RNA", at positions 360 to 776 of the family's 1533-position model. The record is from RNAcentral.